UCGCAUGAUCACCUACUUCAGUGAAUUUAUCGGGGUCUUGGGUAAAGAUCUGAACGACAUAAUAAUGUUUUGAGCUUUCUGAGCAGAGUAUAACAUCGGGAGAUGUUUAGAAGACAUGAACAAAGCCUUCAGCUCUCGCAUUUUGCACACACUGACUCUCUCUCCCCGACUCCCUCUACAUUCAUACAAGCUAGGGCUUUCGCCUCUUGCUCCCCUCCUCGUCUCCUUUGGAUUAGAUAAGAACCGAAGUCCCUAUCUCUGGCACUCUGAUUCGAAACUGAUCCCACCUUUCUCCAAACUUUUGAAACUCCCUCUCCCCAUGAUAUCUCAUUCGUGAAGCCCAAAGUCGAUCAAGAUCCUCUUCCCCUGUCUCUUCUGGGUUUGUGAGAUACUCAGCUUCACUCAACACAAGGCGAGAUCCCCUCUCCCUCUCGCACUCGAGCCAGAACCUAAACUCCUCCAUUCUAUCUUUGUUUGGGUUUGCAGAAGCAAGGGGGCCGUAUCCCCUUUCGUUUCUUCUGGUUCGCGAACCCCAAAAGGAGCCGACCUCUAGUCUCCUUUCCUCUCUCCCGGGGAUGCUGUUUGUUAGCCCAAGAGAAGACCAAUGCUAGCCUCCUCCUUUACCUUUAGUUUGGACAAGGCUGACUGCCUGCUCCCGUCAAGCCCUAGCCCUCGUCCGUCCCUAGUGACUGAAGCUUCUUCGCCGAUCCUUCUUCUCGCAGGAAGAAGAGUUUUGAAAGAGUCACUAAAGAAGCUUCGCCUUCUUCUAGGACUUUGUUCCUAUCUGAUCGAAAAUCAUGACAGAAGAUGGCCAUGACUUUGCGUGCUUUGCAUGAAGAGUUUCAAACUUCUUCGCCUUCUUCUAUGAUGUUUUCCUUGUCAUAUUGGAAGUCACGGUAGGAGCUCAUCAUGAAGGUGACAGCGGGAGCUUGCGGCGAAGUUUGAUAUUGUUGAACUUUGAUCAAAGAAAUAUAUUGGCAAAGGAAUCAAAUGUCUUAAGAUGAAAAGUUUUAUGCAGACUUUUUAUGAGAAUCGACCUUCUUAGCAAAAUCAUCCCCAAAGAGGAACAAAGAAUUUAUUCCAGCUGAAUCAGACAUUUCUUCCAUGAUUCUUGUAUUUAUUUUAGUUCAUGCUCUAUGUUUGAACUAGAUUAAAGUGUCUUCGGAUCUAUAUAUUUAUUUUGUUUAUACUUAAUUAUUUAAUUUUUUAGAAGUGUUUCCUAAACAACAUUCACAACUCAUUCCGAUAUUUACAUUUUUACCUCUGUUUAGC
Molecule: long non-coding RNA, 1272 nt
Organism: Dendrobium catenatum
Lineage: Eukaryota; Viridiplantae; Streptophyta; Magnoliopsida; Asparagales; Orchidaceae
Exons: 4
Source: RefSeq, a predicted model, not a curated record